AGUGAACGCUGGCGGUAGGCCUAACACAUGCAAGUCGAACGGCAGCACAGUAAGAGCUUGCUCUUACGGGUGGCGAGUGGCGGACGGGUGAGGAAUACAUCGGAAUCUACUUUUUCGUGGGGGAUAACGUAGGGAAACUUACGCUACUACCGCAUACGACCUACGGGUGAAAGCAGGGGUUCUUCGGACCUUGCGCGAUUGAAUGAGCCGAUGUCGGAUUAGCUAGUUGGCGGGGUAAAGGCCCACCAAGGCGACGAUCCGUAGCUGGUCUGAGAGGAUGAUCAGCCACACUGGAACUGAGACACGGUCCAGACUCCUACGGGAGGCAGCAGUGGGGAAUAUUGGACAAUGGGCGAAAGCCUGAUCCAGCCAUACCGCGUGGGUGAAGAAGGCCUUCGGGUUGUAAAGCCCUUUUGUUGGGAAAGAAAAGCAGCAGAUUAAUACCCCGCUGUUCUGACGGUACCCAAAGAAUAAGCACCGGCUAACUUCGUG
This 492-nucleotide ribosomal RNA is filed under the name uncultured bacterium. Its description in RNAcentral is "partial 16S ribosomal RNA". It matches the Rfam family "Bacterial small subunit ribosomal RNA", at positions 29 to 507 of the family's 1533-position model. The record is from RNAcentral.